Molecule: non-coding RNA, 2009 nt
Organism: Misgurnus anguillicaudatus (oriental weatherfish)
Lineage: Eukaryota; Metazoa; Chordata; Actinopteri; Cypriniformes; Cobitidae
Source: RefSeq, a predicted model, not a curated record
UAUUUGCGGAUACAUUUAAACAGUUAAGUUAGUGCAGUUCUCUUACGUUCAGGGUGGUGGUUUCAGAUUAUGGUGUGAGUCAAGCAAUGUGGGCAAAGAAACAUGAUGCAAUGCAGGUGUUUGUGAUAUUCAACCUUUAUCACUAACUCCUUAAUUGUACAUUUGUCACAAUAUCUUCAUUUUAGACUGUUAAUAAAUUAGACUUUGGGGGUUAUUUUCGCUGUUUAAAUGUAAUUAAAUUGUGAAUGUCAGUUAUUUCUGCUUGUUACACGCGGUGUGGUAAAUGGCUGCGUCAUUCACUUCGUGAGAGAAAAUGAUUUGCUCGUUUUUUCGCCUAAUGUAACUUGUCUUAAAAUGUAGCAUUUUAAAUGUGUGCUGCUUCUUUCAGAGUUCACACACGAGUAUGUCUGCACUUUGAAGGGAGUAGGGCAUAGGGACGGUGACUAACGAUUGGAAUUCGCCCUAAUAGUGACGGAUAGCUGGAAUUAGAUUUGAUUGGUUGAACCGCGUUCAAAGCUGUUCACACGCGUCUGAUCUACGUAUGACGACGCAUGACCACGCGCGAUUUGAAUGCACAACUUUACAGAAGGUAGAAAAUUAAGAAAUCGCACGUAAGCGCGUUAAGGUCUUUAAAGGUGCAUUUAUGGGAAUACAUUAAAAGAACACUCAUCAUCAAUGUACUAAAACCUGUCCUGAAUAGUUUUUGUUAACCAAGUCACUCACCUAAGCCACAGUUUUUUUAUUGCAUAUAUUUUUGUUAAAUUACUUUAUAAUAAGAUGCAAUAACUUUAUGAAAAACAUUUUCAUAUUUAAUGUUAUAGUACAUUUUGUUUGAUAAUACAAAGUUUUUUAUUCAAUCACUAUUUCAGGUUUGGAACAUGCUGCUGAAGUUGGUUAUCAGGGCUCCAGGAUAUGUAUCAAACUGCAGGAUUUAUUUAUUUUUGCUCAUUAGUGAAGGUGGUAAGCUAAACUGACUGUGGACUAAUGUAUGCAUUGUUGAUGACACUGAAAUCGAGGAAGACAUUCUACAAGAUGUGCUGCUUACAGUUAGAGGACAAAAUGAAGGUACAGUGUGAUGAUUAUCUUUGUUUUAUAAAACUAAUUUAGGUUUAUUUUUCAGUUUUUGUGUGUUUGUCAUGAAUUUUUGUCACCAGAUGCAACAAGCAGCUUCUGCCACUGUCAUUUACCAUCUGAACUUGACCAAAGUCGUUCCAAUAAAUCUAAGACAACAGAUGACUCCAUGACCGAGACUCCUACAAGGAACCAGUGAGAGCAUCAUAGACUGUGAUAGUGACAUUGCAACACUGCUUUUUACUGCUCCAUCUCCUUCCACCAUCACCUCAAGGGAAUCAGUGCAUCAGAUUUGCAGUGAGCAGGCUUGUGGUGUAUCAUAAGUCUUGUACCAGCCUUGAAGAACAUCUUCAGCAACGAGUAGGAUGACAACCGUACCUUACUGCGGUUAGCAGGAUCUGCGGCCAGAUUUGAGAACUUUGACGUGGCUUUUGAUAAGAAUCUCACCCCAUCAGUCAGAAGGCUCCCUUUAUUAGCAUUUGACUUUGUUUUUAAUGUAAUGUAUGAUGAUGGACUCCUUUACUUUAACUAAUUUAAUCAAACAACAGUUUACAUGUUGGGAAAACUAGAGAUUGAGAGCUGAGAGCAAACUUUUUUUAACUAGCUGUAACUAGUAUCUCAUUUACGGUUUCAGCAUGCAUUUUGUCCUUGCCCAAAUUUCUAAUUAAUAUGUGCUGAAGAAAAUUGUGAUUACUUUUGUGAUGUAUUGUUUUACAGAAUGUUUAGUGAAAGAUUUGCUGUGAUUUGCCCUAGAUGUGUGUCAGACAUGGAUUUUAAAACACUUUUCCAGUUUUGUUUAAACUCCUUGGCAAAAUUGAAAGGACUGUAUACAUAACCACUCUCUGAAAAUUUUGAAAAAGUUCACAAGUGAAACUUUAUUUUUUUAUAAAUAUUUAAUAAUGUCAAAUAAAUUUGUUAAAUAAAUUUGUGGUCAAUAA